Molecule: ribosomal RNA, 253 nt
Filed under: uncultured bacterium
Lineage: Bacteria
Description: partial 16S ribosomal RNA
Rfam family: Bacterial small subunit ribosomal RNA
Source: RNAcentral
UACGGGGGGGGCAAGCGUUGUUCGGAAUUACUGGGCGUAAAGGGCUCGUAGGCGGCCAACUAAGUCAGACGUGAAAUCCCUCGGCUUAACCGGGGAACUGCGUCUGAUACUGGAUGGCUUGAGUUCGGGAGAGGGAUGCGGAAUUCCAGGUGUAGCGGUGAAAUGCGUAGAUAUCUGGAGGAACACCGGUGGCGAAGGCGGGUUGCUGGGCUGACACUGACGCUGAGGCGCGAAGGCCAGGGGAGCGAACGGG